RNAcentral lists this ribosomal RNA (406 nucleotides) under uncultured bacterium. Its description in RNAcentral is "partial 16S ribosomal RNA". It matches the Rfam family "Bacterial small subunit ribosomal RNA", at positions 29 to 526 of the family's 1533-position model. The record is from RNAcentral.
AUUGAACGCUGGCGGCAGGCCUAACACAUGCAAGUCGAGCGAGCGGCGGACGGGUGAGUAAUGUCUGGGAAACUGCCUGAUGGAGGGGGAUAACUACUGGAAACGGUAGCUAAUACCGCAUACCAUCAGAUGUGCCCAGAUGGGAGUAGCUAGUAGGUGGGGUAACGGCGCACCUAGGCGACGAUCCCUAGCUGGUCUGAGAGGAUGACCAGCCACACUGGAACUGAGACACGGUCCAGACUCCGAAGGGAGGCAGCAGUGGGGAAUAUUGCACAAUGGGCGCAAGCCGGAUGCAGCCAUGCCGCGUGGGUGAAGAAGGCCUUCGGGUUGUAAAGCACUUUCAGCGGGGAGGCGUUACCCGCAGAAGAAGCACCGGCUAACUCCGUGCCAGCAGCCGCGGUAAUUC